Molecule: long non-coding RNA, 2391 nt
Filed under: Equus caballus (horse)
Lineage: Eukaryota; Metazoa; Chordata; Mammalia; Perissodactyla; Equidae
Description: lncRNA (ENSECAG00000037699.3)
Source: RNAcentral
GUAAGAGCCAGACGGACCAAUCGAAGCCCGGCGGGCCCCAGACGUCCAAGCCGGUGGGCGUGGCAAAGGGAUGAGGGUGGGACGAUGCGGUGUUGCCAUGACGACGGCUUCCGGGAGGGCAGGUUGAGGUGACUUCCGGCCGGAAGGCGAGACUCCGCGGGAAAAGCGCCUCUGGUUGGUAGACCGUUAUAAAGUCAAGUUGUUUCCCUAAGAUGCAAACCUGACAAAAGUGAUUCAUACGUUUCCAGCCCAUGACACAGAUCUUUGCAACGUGCCCUGCUGUCCAACACACUCUAAAACUAAAGCUACUGAAAUAAGAAUUCAUCAUUUUGAAGAUACAAUUACUACUUCACUUUAACAAACAGAUGCAUCCCAUUCAAAACAACACGUACCACCCAACCAGGACAGUAGAAUCUCUUCUGAAAAUGCCCUCAAACCAUCUCACUUGGCUCAGGCUCCCAAACUGGAUGUGAAAUGAUGGGAAAAGAGAAAAGCAUGAGAGCAUUAGAAAAGGGAGGAAGAGGAAGACCGUCUUUUGGGCUGGAGUAGUCAUCAUGUUCAGAGAGGUUACAUCUCAGCACUUCUCAUCAUGGCCAAAAGGAAUGUUUCUGUUCAGCUGACUGUCAUGAGUUUCUUUUGUAAAGGAAAUGAUUUGGGGAAAGGGUUCAUAGCGGGAGUGAGAGAUUACAUUUAAAGAUAUAUUUCUUCUCCAAGUAAAAAUGAAGACAUUGACAGAGAUGUUUUUGUCCACUUAUUGAUUUAUACACUAUAUUUAAAAUUUUCCCAGAACUUCAAAGGAUGUGUUCCCUGGGGUUCAAAUAAAUUUGCAUCAGCAGCUUUGGUAUUGAUUAUUCAGAAAAAUACAGAAACCCUUUUCCUACUCCGUUAUUAGACUUGAGCAGUGACUUUACAGAGGGGUUCAUGCCCUAAUAUAAACAAUAUGGCCAAUAUUUAUUUGAUUUAUUAAAAAAAAAAAGAUCUGAAGAACUGUGCCUCUUUAUGCCUGGUUUCACUUACUACUAUAGAUUUUGAAGGCUCAAGCUAAAGUUGAAGCCGACCAGUUUGAAGAUCCUUUGCCUGUUCUUAUAAGUGGAGCUCUUUCAGGGUAAUUCCAGGGAGAUUUGCUGUAGGUAACAUUAGACAGACACUGAACAUAAUGUAGGAUGGAUGCAAACUGAAAGAGUGAUCUUGGGGAUCAUUCAACGUUGAAAAGCCUUUGAUUGUCUUGACUGGAGCUUCUUCUGGAAGAUGUACUGAAUGAGUCUGGGAUCAAGACCAAUUUCUCAGGUUUGAUGCAGUUGUAACAUGGAAAUCCACCAGAUUCUGCUAUGACUAAUUAGAGAUGUGUGAAGAGGGUUUCUCUUUUCCAACAUUAUUGAUUUUUCUUUCAAACCCCCCAGUUUCACACAGAAAAUCUCUGGCAUUUAAAAGUGUUCAAUUUAGUACAGUUCACUGAUGCAUGUAAUCUUUGCUAACUGCAUCCCAUUUUCUCUGAACUUGGUUUUUCAGGCCCUCUUAUGUUCCGGGUAUAUUUGAGAUUUACUUUAGGUUUUAAGUAAAAUCAAAGAUGCACCCAGGACAUCUGAACACUGAGAGGAUAAAUUUAAUAUUUGGAUUUUUUUUAGUUAGAAUUUUUUCCUUCCCUCCAUUGGAAAUAUAGGAAAUUAUCCAAGCCCAGAAAUAAAGAAGUAUAAUUUUAAAAAGUGGAUUCUACAGAAUCUAAGCUUACGAAUCAGUCAAGGGAUUUGUUUAUGUCUUCAAUCUCAUCUGUCCUGGAAAAAGUGAGAAAAUUAAGAUGGAUAAUAGCACCUGGAAAUUUACGACAUUGGGGAAAAAUCUGUGAUUGAAUAGCAUAACUCAGGUAUAAGCUAUGGCUCUUUGCCACCUCAACUCCUCUCUUCCCACUGCAUCUUUUAACAUUGCCUGAUAUCUCUUAGGCUAUUGUGGACAGAUAUCAUACCCUGUAACUUCUCAUUAAAGUCAGAGCCAUAUGCUGGCAUUUUAUGUUUUCUGCUCCUCUCAUAUGAGGAAAGAUGCUAGACAGAUGUAUCAGAUGAUAAACAUUGCAUAUUGAGAGUGAAGCCUUUUUCUCUUUGAAUUUAAGAUAAUGUAAUGUAUAAGAGUAUAUCUUUAAUUGAACAUUUUCUUCUCCUCUGUCAUAUGGGAACUUUUCUUUGUCCUCAGUUUUCUCUUCUCAAGAAAUAAAUUGUAGAAGACCUAGAGGAAAAAUUGUUUCACUGCUUUCUUGAACAGUCUUCCUUUUCAGGCCACCUGGUUUACAUUUCAGGUCAUUCCAACUAUUACCAUUAUUCUUACCUAUGCUUUAAACAUAAAUGUUAGAUUUUUUUUUCCCUCAAGCUCUGAGAAUCCCUCAGAGUGCCUUUUUUCCCC